GCAAGUCGAGCGCGCCCUUCGGGGUGAGCGGCGGACGGGUGAGUAACGCGUGGGAACCUGCCCUGAGGUCUGGGACAACCGUGGGAAACCGCGGCUAAUACCGGAUGUCUCCUACGGGAGAAAGGCUUGCCGCCUUGGGAGGGGCCCGCGUUGGAUUAGCUUGUUGGUGGGGUAAUGGCCUACCAAGGCUGCGAUCCAUAGCUGGUCUGAGAGGAUGAUC
This 220-nucleotide ribosomal RNA is filed under the name uncultured bacterium. RNAcentral describes it as "partial 16S ribosomal RNA". It matches the Rfam family "Bacterial small subunit ribosomal RNA", at positions 57 to 305 of the family's 1533-position model. The record is from RNAcentral.